This 404-nucleotide ribosomal RNA is filed under the name bacterium enrichment culture clone ALO1_GLFRUDD03GVPZ5. RNAcentral's name for it is "bacterial SSU rRNA". It matches the Rfam family "Bacterial small subunit ribosomal RNA", at positions 9 to 416 of the family's 1533-position model. The record is from RNAcentral.
GAGUUUGAUCUUGGCUCAGAUUGAACGCUGGCGGCAUGCCUUACACAUGCAAGUCGAACGGCAGCACGGGAGCUUGCUCCUGGUGGCGAGUGGCGAACGGGUGAGUAAUGCAUCGGAACGUAUCCUGGAGUGGGGGAUAACGUAGCGAAAGUUACGCUAAUACCGCAUAUUCUGUGAGCAGGAAAGCGGGGGACCUUCGGGCCUCGCGCUCUUGGAGCGGCCGAUGUCGGAUUAGCUAGUUGGUGAGGUAAAGGCUCACCAAGGCGACGAUCCGUAGCAGGUCUGAGAGGAUGAUCUGCCACACUGGAACUGAGACACGGUCCAGACUCCUACGGGAGGCAGCAGCGGGAAUUUGGACAAUGGGGCAACCCUGAUCCAGCCAUGCCGCGUGAGUGAAGAAGGCC